Daktulosphaira vitifoliae (grape phylloxera) is the source of this 1258-nucleotide long non-coding RNA. RefSeq lists it as uncharacterized. The transcript has 3 exons. The record is from RefSeq and is a predicted model, not a curated record. Lineage: Eukaryota; Metazoa; Arthropoda; Insecta; Hemiptera; Phylloxeridae.
AUCUAAAUGUUUGAAAUUUUCAGCUAUUAGUUUACUGACCUUUGAAUUUUAGGGAUUUUAAAUAGUUACACGCUUAAUAAAUAUCUUUCGAUCUACGGUCUGAUCUCUUAAGAAUUAUUCCUCCCAUUUUUCCUAUAAAUAAGGGGAAUCAUUCUUAAAAAAUCACACUGUAUAUAGUUAUUAAAAUUUCUAUAUAAAAAACACUAAAUGUGCUUAAAUUUCUCGCCUACAUUUUUUCUAUAAUAACUAAAACCUUGCAUUUCCUUAUAGUCCAAGUUGUUCAUAUUGAUUGAAACAUUUUGUAAAAUGUUACAUUUAUAAAGUAAUAAUAAAUUUAAUUGAAAGUGUAAUUUAUUAUUAUUACAAACUACUUUUAUCGUGAUGAACAUUAAUGUGUAGUUUCCGUGUCAUGAAAAUUUGAGGAUGACCGUAGGCAAGUGUCAGUUUCGAAUGUAAACAAAACGGUCACCACGUUGAAGAAUGACGUUUGUCAUAUGCCAAUCGAUAGCUCCAAUAAUAUUUUAAGGAAUAAAUUUGAAGAGUUUCAAUUAGACGAGUUUUGUGAUGUUUUGGCGUAUCGUUAAGCAAAAUCAUAAAGUGAGAGUAUUGAUGUAUACUGACAAAAAAAAACAGGACAUAGUAAUACCAAAGUAUCUCAGUUUGUACUACAUUAUAGAAGGAGUUAAUAUAACAUUUUAUGGCUGAAAAAGGAGACAAUUAUAAAAAAAAAUUCACUAAUGUUGCGACCGACCUAGGAUGAGACACGGCAAAGUGUUGGACUGGAUGUCGUUGUAAUGUGAAAAAAAGUACAGAGUUAUAACACAAUAUAUUUAUACAACGGAUCUUUAAUUUUAGAAAUACAAUUAUUUCUAACUAUAGCAUUAGUUGUCUUUAGGUGAAUCACUUACAACUUAUAACACAAUAUAUUUAUACAACGGUUCGAACGCGAUUCAUUACUGCUUAUUCGUUGUCUAAUACUAAUUAUUCCCUAACCCCACUACACUAAUAUCAUAACAAUACGGGUUCGUAACAAUAGGACUGAGUGGUAAAAUUUAAGUCGAUCCAACACAAGAAAAAUCUUAGAAAUUGUUUCUAUUUAAUGAUUUUACAAAUAUUUCUGAAGCAUUAUUUAUUUCACAAUAAUCUACAUAUUAAUUAAUUUCGGAUUGAUCAUUCAUUUGUUCACAAACUAUGAAUAAUUACAAAUUUUUAUAACUGUUUUAUUGUUAUAAAAUUUAUGCUAUAUUUUUAAUUAAUU